Molecule: unclassified non-coding RNA, 187 nt
Filed under: uncultured Ascomycota
Lineage: Eukaryota; Fungi; Ascomycota
Description: sequence contains ITS2
Source: RNAcentral
CGACCCUCAAGCCCCCGCGGCUUGGUGUUGGGGCCCCCUACGGCGCUCGCCGUAGGCCCCGAAAUGCAUUGGCGGACCCGACGGGACCCCGAGCGCAGUAGCACUUGUUCUCGCUUAGGGCGUCGCGGCGGGCACCGGCCGUAAAACCCCCUCACGGGCGCCUCCGGGCCCCGCGAGGCACAACCAA